Molecule: transfer RNA, 82 nt
Filed under: Tieghemiomyces parasiticus
Lineage: Eukaryota; Fungi; Kickxellomycota; Dimargaritomycetes; Dimargaritales; Dimargaritaceae
Also listed under: 2 other names
Rfam family: tRNA
About the family: Transfer RNA (tRNA) molecules are approximately 80 nucleotides in length. Their secondary structure includes four short double-helical elements and three loops (D, anti-codon, and T loops). Further hydrogen bonds mediate the characteristic L-shaped molecular structure. tRNAs have two regions of fundamental functional importance: the anti-codon, which is responsible for specific mRNA codon recognition, and the 3' end, to which the tRNAs corresponding amino acid is attached (by aminoacyl-tRNA synthetases). tRNAs cope with the degeneracy of the genetic code in two manners: having more than one tRNA (with a specific anti-codon) for a particular amino acid; and 'wobble' base-pairing, i.e. permitting non-standard base-pairing at the 3rd anti-codon position.
Source: Rfam by way of RNAcentral
GACAGCUUGCCAGAGUGGUUAAUGGGUAUGACUAGAAAUCAUAUGGGAUCUUCCCGCGCAGGUUCAAAUCCUGCAGCUGUCG